Molecule: long non-coding RNA, 311 nt
Filed under: Medicago truncatula (barrel medic)
Lineage: Eukaryota; Viridiplantae; Streptophyta; Magnoliopsida; Fabales; Fabaceae
Description: long non-coding RNA (MTRU_LNC001264)
Source: RNAcentral
UCAUUGACCUCAAUUUUCUUUCCACUCCCAUCUUUGCUAAUAACUAUUCCAACCAAUUUACAAGGUACAGCAUCCUCAAGUUUUUGAACCACAGCUCUCAUACUUGGUCUCAUAGCAGGAAUAGUUGCUGUACAAAGAACUGCAGUUCUCAAUACCUUACAAGCUUCCUCUUUAUACAUCUCCGGAAUUCUCGAAUCCACCACACUCAUAAACUUCUCCUUGCUCCUUGUCUUCCCAUGAACCCAACUUACUAUGUCUUUGUUUUCUCCGAAUUCAGGUUCACUUGGCCUUUUACCAGUUACAAGCUCCAU